UACAGAGGUCUCAAGCGUUGUUCGGAAUCACUGGGCGUAAAGGGUGCGUAGGCGGCGGGGAAAGUCAGAUGUGAAAUCCGGAGGCUCAACCUCCGAAUGGCAUCCGAUACUCCCUCGCUAGAGAGUUGUAGAGGAGCUUGGAAUUCUCGGUGUAGCAGUGAAAUGCGCAGAUAUCAGGAAGAACACCCGUGGCGAAGGCGGCUCUCUGGGACGGUACUGACGCUGAGACGCGAAAGCGUGGGGAGCGAACAGG
RNAcentral lists this ribosomal RNA (253 nucleotides) under uncultured bacterium. RNAcentral describes it as "partial 16S ribosomal RNA". It matches the Rfam family "Bacterial small subunit ribosomal RNA", at positions 524 to 776 of the family's 1533-position model. The record is from RNAcentral.